GAAUGCUAAAAGAAUGGAAAUUUAAAAAAAAACUUUUUUAAAAAUAAAAAUUGAAUUUUUUUUAAUUUGUGCAAAAACAAUUAUAUUUAUUAAAGACAAGAAGACCCUAAGAAUUUAAGAUUUUAUAAUUAAAAAGUUUUUUUUUUUAAAAUCUUGAUUGGGGCGAUCAAAAAAUAUUAAUAACUUUUUAAAAUUUAAAUUGAUCUAUUAUUAAUAAACUAAUGAAUUAAAUACUCUAGGGAUAACAGCGUAAUAAUUUUUGAUAGAUCUUAUUGACAAAAUAGUUUGCGACCUCGAUGUUGGAUUAGGAUUCUUUUUUAAUGAAGAAGUUAAAAAAAGAAGUUUGUUCAACUUUUAAAUUCCUACUUGAUCUGAGUUCAAACCG
This 385-nucleotide ribosomal RNA is filed under the name Hyalomma sp. RNAcentral describes it as "partial large subunit ribosomal RNA". The stretch from base 241 to 385 matches the Rfam family "Bacterial large subunit ribosomal RNA", at positions 2473 to 2618 of the family's 2925-position model. The record is from RNAcentral. Lineage: Eukaryota; Metazoa; Arthropoda; Arachnida; Ixodida; Ixodidae.